This is an RNA transcript of Ictidomys tridecemlineatus (thirteen-lined ground squirrel), 6605 nucleotides long. It is a transcript of the gene named ubiquitin specific peptidase 40, with no coding region annotated. The record is from RefSeq and is a predicted model, not a curated record. NCBI's taxonomy places the organism in Eukaryota, Metazoa, Chordata, Mammalia, Rodentia, Sciuridae.
GAGGCGCGGUGUGUGUCCAUACCAGCGCUUCCGGAGACCCGCCCUCGCCAACAUGGCGGCACCCAGUUGGGGCACGUCAGAUUGCUUCAAGUUUUGGCUGGGGUUGGGGUCUGGGCUUUAGGCAGCAACUGGGACCAGCGCUCGGGUCCCGAGAGGGACGUGGGAAAUUAGGGACGGUGGUGUGGCGCUGCCUGACUAAGGCGAGCGAAGAGCGGCCCGGGCCUGUCCGGGGUCGAGGCGCGCUCCUGAAUCGGGUCGGUGAUCGCGGGCCGCGGGGACUUGCGCCCGGUUGUGGGCCUGCGUCCCGUGCAGGGCUGGAGGGCAGGAACGCCCGAACCUCGGUCGUGGAUUGAGGGAGUCGGGAAUCCAGACUUUGACCUCGAGGCCAGACCCUCGAGUUCCACUUCUUGUACUUUUCUUCUGAGGAAUGAGUUUUAAAGGAUAAUUGUCCUCCGGGUUUCCUGUCUCUUGGAAACGGCUAGGUGCUUUGUAUUUCUCUUCUCCAAGGACCCUCCGCCACACUCGAUGUAGAGUUAGGCGCAAGUCACUUGGGUCCCCGGGGCUGACAUUGCUGUCGCCAAUGUGCACGGGAGACCUUCAGACUGCAUCGUUUCAAUGGCAGUCUUCCUUACCCCGAGACCUCCUCCCUGCUCUCUAGUUUGAGGACAGUAUACUAAACUGCUAUAAAGACGAUUAAUUUGAUGCAUUUUAUCAUUAAGAUAUACUCGGGUACAAAGUCCUGAGGCGAGCGAGAAGCAGAGAUUUUAGUAAAUGAAUGAUGGUCCCAAGGCUUCUGCCAAUUCUCAGAACCUAGGCGUUGCCACCGCUGAAGGUGGAUUAGGUUUGGUGAUGCGUUUUCUUUCUUUCAAUGAUGAUGCAAAUAUGCCUUUUUAAAAACAGCCUUCAAUUUUUGUGGGCCAAACUCUGCAUAUUAAGUGCUCUGUUUUUAUUAUGUCAUUUGUUUAAAUGACCCCUACAGGACAUAUGGUAUCCCAUUUUACCUAUGAGAAAACAGGCUAGAUAACUUGCCAAGGGUCACACAAGUUAGUUAGGAUACUGACAGGGAUGAAAAAAAGUUCAGAUUUUGCUGUUUCCAAAACACAAAUUACAUAUUUUCAAAAGAACGGUAACAAAAUGGACAACUGUAAGUGUAAGGUAGGGAGAUUUGGGGAAAGCUUGGGUUUUUUUUUUUUUUUAAAGCAUUUAUAUAACAUCAUUUCUUUCUAAAGGAUAGUAUUUAGUUUCACAAUGUUUGGGGACCUAUUUGAAGAGGAUUAUUCCAGUGUGUCAAAUAAUCAGUAUGGAAAAGGGAAGAAAUUAAAGAAUAAAGCUUUGGAGCCACCUGCUCCCAGAGAAUUCACCAAUUUAAGUGGAAUCAGAAAUCAGGGUGGAACCUGUUAUCUCAAUUCCCUUCUUCAGACUCUUCAUUUCACACCUGAAUUCAGAGAAGCUUUAUUUUCUCUUGGCCCAGAAGAACUUGGUUUUUUAGAGGAUAAGGAUAAACCAGAUGCAAAGGUUCGAAUCAUACCUUUGCAGUUGCAGCGCUUGUUUGCUCAGCUUUUGCUGUUAGACCAGGAAGCUGCAUCCACAGUGGAGCUCACCAACAGCUUCGGGUGGACUAGCGAUGAGGAAAUGAGACAACAUGAUGUGCAGGAACUGAAUCGAAUUCUCUUCAGUGCUUUGGAAACUUCUUUGGUUGGGACCUCUGGCCAUGACCUCAUCAAUCGUCUGUAUCAUGGAACCAUUGUUAACCAGGUUGUUUGUAACGAAUGUAAGAACAUCAGUGAGAAGCAGGAAGACUUCUUAGAUCUAACAGUAGCAGUCAAAAACGUAUCUGGUUUGGAAGAUGCACUCUGGAACAUGUAUGUAGAAGAGGAAGUUUUUGACUAUGACAACUUGUACCAUUGUGGAACUUGUGACCGGCUGGUUAAAGCAGCAAAGUCGGCCAAAUUGCGCAAGUUGCCUCCUUUUCUUACUGUCUCAUUACUAAGAUUUAAUUUUGAUUUUGUGAAGUGUGAACGCUACAAGGAAACUAGCAGUUACACGUUUCCUCUCCGGAUCAAUCUCAAGCCUUUUUGUGAGCAGAGUGAAUUAGAUGAUUUAGAAUAUAUAUAUGACCUCUUCUCAGUCAUUAUACACAAAGGUGGCUGCUACGGAGGACAUUAUCAUGUAUAUAUUAAAGAUGUUGAUCAUCUGGGAAACUGGCAAUUUAAACAGGAAGAAAGAAAGCCAGAUGUGAAUUUGAAAACUCUUCAAAAUGAAGAGGAGAUUGAUGAUCCAUUGGUGAUACUACAAGCAGUAAUAUUACAGGAGGAGAAUAAUCUAAUAUCUGUUGAUCAACUGGGCCAGAAACUGUUGAAAAAAAUGGGAAUAUCUUGGAACAAGAAGUACAGAAAAUAUCAUGGGCCACUGAGAAAGUUCUUACAGCUGCAUUCUCAGAUGUUCCUUCUAAGUUCAGAUGGAAGCACAGUUAGUCUACUGAAGAAAGAUCCUGUCCAGUCUAAGUCUGACUUCCAAAGUACUGAUCAACAGAGUUUCCACUCGCUGGCUUUAGAAGCCCCAGGAUUAAGUGAUAGCACUGCCUGUUCCCACUGGUUUGAUAUAAAUGACUCUAAAGUUCAACCAAUCCAGGAGAAAGAUAUUGAACAGCAAUUUCAGGGCAAAGAAAGCGCCUACAUGUUGUUUUAUCGGAAAUCCCAGUUGCAGAGACCCCCUGAAGCUCUAGCUAACCCAAGAUACAGGGUCCCCUGUCACCUGCUGAAAGAAAUGGAUGCAGCCAACAUUGAACUGAAAGUGAAAAGGGCAGAAUGUGAUUCUGCAAACAAUGAUUUUGAAUUGCAUCUUCACCUGGGCCCUCAUUAUCGGUUCUUCAAUGGGGCUCUGCACCCAGUAACCUCUCAGGCAGAAAGUGUGUGGGAUUUGACCUUUGACAAAAGAAAAACUUUAGGAGAUCUCCGACAAUCAAUAUUUCAGCUACUAGAAUUUUGGGAAGGAGACAUGGUUCUUAGUGUAGCAAAGCAUGUACCAGCAGGACUUCACAUUUAUCAGACACUCGAUGGAGAUGAACUGUCGCUGUGUGAAAUUGACAUUGCUGAUGGGGAAGACAUCUUUGUAUGGAAUGGAAUGGAGGUUGGAGGAGUCCAGAUUGAGACUGGGAUUGACUGUGAGCCUCUGCUGUUAAACAUUCUUCAUCUGGAGUCAAGUGGUGAAGGCAAGAAGCGUGGGCGACUGAUAGAAUCGCCACAUGUCUUUCCUGCUAAUGCGGAAGUGGGUACUGUGUUCACAGCUGCGGCCAUCCCAGCAGGCAUCAUCCUUGUGAACAGCGCCGGGUCUGCAGAUGAAGAGAGCUGGACUGCUGUGCCCGAGGAAGACAUGAAGAAGACGUUCAGAGAGCAGGGGCUCAGAAACGGAAGCUCCAUUCUAGUUCAGCCUCCUAAUAGUGAGGAUAGGAGUGUGUUGCCCAAAGAAGGGAAGUGGAUGAAUGGUAUGAAUGAGAUCGACUGGAUCCAGGUUAAAAAUUUAUGCCAGCUAGAAUCUGAAGAAAAGCAAGUUAAAAUAUCAGCAACUGUUCACACAGUGGUGUUUGAUAUUCGAAUUAAAGCCAUAAAGGAAUUAAAAUUAAUGAAGGAACUAGCUGAGAACAGCUGUUUGAGACCUAUUGAUAGAAACGGGAAGCUCCUUUGUCCAGUGCCAGAUGGUUCCACUUUGAAGGAAGCAGAAGUGAAGAUGGGGAGUUCUUUGGGACUGUGUCUUGGAAAAGCACCAACUUCCUCUCAGCUGUUCCUGUUUUUUGCUUGGGGGACUAACAUUCAACCUGGGACAGAGAUGGAGGUCAUAGUAGAAGAAACAUUGUCUGUGAAAGAGUGUUUAAAGAUAAUGCUUGAGAAAUCUUGUCUGCCAGGAGAUGCGUGGCAUUUAAGAAAAAUGGACUGGUGCUAUGAAGCUGGGGAGCCAUUAUGUGGAGAAGAUGCAACAUUGCAAGAGCUUAGGAUAUGUUCUGGAGACACAUUGCUUUUAAUUGAAGGAAAACUUCCUCUUCCGGGUUUCCUGAAGGUGCCCAUCUGGUGGUACCGGCCUCGUGGUCACUCAGGACACUGGGAGAGUCAAGACCAGCCUUGUACCUCUUCUCAAGGCAAUGGCUGGAGAGCUGCUAGCACCCAAGGUGCCCCUGGCCAUGUGCCUGCGGAAGUUUCUCUCGUCUACUUGGGAGACCUGGAUAUCUCAGAAGAUGCUGCUUUGGUGGACCUGAAGUCUCAGGCCAGAGCCUUAACCCCUUCCUCAGAGCUUGCUGUCCCUGCCCCAGCCCUCCUCAGAGCCUGGACGGUGGAGAGCAGGCGCCCUGGCAGGCUCUUACGCACUGACCGGCAGCGGCUCAAGGAAUAUAAACUAGGACGGAGACCCGAGAUCUGCCUGGAGCCCCUUCAGGAGGAGGAGCAGCUGGGCCCCCAGGACGUACUGCUGAGGACGCAGAUGCGCAUCCCUGAGGAGAGGGCCUACGCCCCUGCUGUGGACUUGGUGUGGGACACCUCCCGAGGCUGGACCACCGGCUCCCUGAGGCAGAGAGUGGCCGAUUUCUAUUCUCUUCCUGUGGAGAAAAUUGAAAUUGCCAAAUACUUCCCUGAAAAAUUUGAGUGGCUUCCUAUAUCUAGCUGGAACCAGCAAAUUACCAAGAGGAAAAAGAAGAAAAAGCAAGAUACUUUGCAAGGGGCACCCUAUUACUUGAAAGAUGGAGACACUAUUGGUGUUAAGAACCUUCUGGUCGAUGACAGUGACGACUUCAGCACAGCCAGAGACGAUGCUGAGAAAGAGAAGCAGGAGCUGCUACCUCGGGGGAAGAGGGACAGGUAACUGGGGCCUCGCACUCACCACCGCCUCCCCAGGCCCCUGGCUUCUUACUCCUGUUUGGAAAGUCUGCCAAGAAGUCCUUUGUGCACAGAACAGUGAUGUCUCCAGUGCAGGGACACCUGCCCGGCCCCGAGGACCAGAAGCUUCUCUGUCUAUUCACGUUGGGAGCUUCAGAUAGCGCUUGCAACAGGAUGCGUCCCAGCACAGUGCCCAGGCUCUGCACAAGGCCAGCUAAGCAUCAAUGCCUUAGAAGCAGGAGAGUGGUUUGUGGGCGACGAGUUGGCUGCAUCCUCGGAUCUCAGAUCCUCGUCUUCACCUGCCAACACAGGGACAGCUUUUCUCAGGCUGGGCAAACGUACUCCAUAGCUCAGCUCCGCAACAUACCUUGGCCCAUGGGAGUCAGCACAGACCCAGGUACUGUGCAGGAGCCAUGCAAGUGUUGACCUCACGCCACACCUGACCCCAGUGGCCUUUUUUCCAGGAAGCUUACCACUUGUGCAUUAACCACAGGUAUGGACAGGUGGCUUAUUGCUAACUCAAGAUAAACUUGUGUAAGAUCCACAUGUGUAUAGUUGCUUCCACUUUAACCUGCAUUGAAGUGGGUUCUGAUGGUCUGUCCCAUGCUGCAGGGGGCGCUGUGCUUAUUUAUAUCAGAAGGAAAGGGUAACCUGUGCCUCCCAGUCUCCGUUCCCCACACGGUUCUCUUAGGUGACACGUUUCUUGUUUGAGCUGUGGCUCUGACACACAAAGCACACCGCCACAGAGAAGGAAGCCUCAGGUGAGGCCCACCUUGGGGUCUGAGGUCAGAAUAGUCUUGCUGCUGCCCACAGUUCCUUGGCCUCUCCCGCUGGAAGGCUGGUAGGAGGCAGGACCAGGGGACAAGGCCCCACAGUUGUGGGUUCCCAGAUGUCUUGGGCAGGCUCAGUUGACCUUGAGUAGCCUCAGUUGAUUAAAACAGAUGGGGAAAAAAUGUAUAAAGUAAAAUUUUUCCCCUUAAUUCAACACAGGUAACUAUUCAAUUUAAAUUAAAUUUAAGGAAUUUAAAUAGCAUUUGAGAGCUAGCACUGCAUUAGAGUUGACCAAUCUAGGGUGCUAGACUGGCAACAUCUCCAGCACAAUCCUGAGUUGUCAUGUACAUGCUCCCCCUGGUGGUCACCUGUAUUUCAGUUCCCCAUCAGCCCUCACUGCCUAACACUAACACAGCUGAGGGCCGAGAUGGGGAGGCACUGACAAUGCAGCUUAGCACUUCGGCUGCAGCCCUGGCUGAAGGCUGUCCUGCUGUGGCUGCUACCUUCUCAGCCCUGGAUACUCAGCAGGUAGCCCUGCUUCCCCCUUCCCAAUCCCCCCAACACUAGGUGUCUUCAGUCUCUGUAGAAGCACUUGGGCUCAGACCUACAAGCCAGGGGGUUGUGCAACAUGGAAGUCAAGGCCCAGUCCUCUAGACACGCCCGGAGGGGUGCGAUGAUGUGUGAACUAGGCCUCAGUCCUGUGGCUCCUGCCCAGGCCUGCUGUCAGCUGCUGUGUCAGUUACUGAGGCUAUUUUCCCAGCGGGCCUUCAUCCCAUCUUAAUAUUAAUGUAAUAGCUGAAACAUUCCGCUUUGAGGAGCCAGAGGCCUUCCCAAACCUCUGAAAUAUUCUGUGCUGGCCAGCAGGGGGCGCCCACCUGGGUGCUUGCUGGUUUUUUGUUUUUGUUUUCCAACUGGGCAUGGGGAGAAAGCUAAGAUUUUAAGGAAAAAAAAUAAACCAUUUUUAAAGUUGUA